GCUCCCCGUGCCGGGCCGGCUACCGCGCUGCCAGGCGGCGGGUGGUGCCUGCGGGCGGGGCCGGGCCGCGCCGGGCCGGGCGGAGCCAAUGGAGCGGCGGGGGCGGGCCCGGCGCGGCGGAGCGGAGCGGGAGGGUGGCAGGAAGCUUAUUCCCGUAAAGAGGGAUGCUUGGCCUCCAGAUCUUAGAUAUCUUUGCCCAGGCUUUAUGCAUGGCAUGAUAUAAGGGACAAAAAGCAAGGCAAAGCAAAGCAAAGCAUGGAAGCCAUACCACCUCCUGAGGGUAUAUUGAAAGGGACAAGAGAGUAAUGCUAACCCUUAAAAAACAGUAAAAUAAGCAACUACACAAACCUCCCCACUUUUAGAAUCAAGUUGUUACCAUUUUUGCUUGUCCCUAAUCUUCAAACCACUGACCCAAGUUUUAGAACAAAAGGUUUUGGCAGUAGUAUAGAGAAUUUUGCCUAAACACAUCUGAUUCAUAUACUGCUACACAAUAGCAAUGAAAAAAGAAAAUUCUCCUCAAAAGCUAACACCAAUCAUCAUAUCCUGACAGAAACCAGAGGAAAGACUCAGAGGGUCUGGUCCCCAGAAUGCAGGAUCUCCACCCCUGCUUUAAAGCCUUAGUCAUGACAUCCCCUUGUCCCAGUGAACUGCAAGAGCAUUUCAAAGGAGGGCACUUGUCUACCAGAACACUCAAAGUCAUGAUGCAAACCAUGGAACCUAAGCGCAUACCUGAACUGAAUCCAAAGAAGAGUCCAUCAAACAAAUAGAUAUACGUAAAAAUGGCACCUCAUGUAGGGCUACAAACAAAGCCGUAACUUGAAAUAGCAGCAGGUAGGAAAAUAGAGGUAUCAGCAGGGAGUUGGGAGGAACCUUCUGGAGGUACAGUGAAAAAUAACCUGUCUACAAAAAUUACAGUGAAACAGCAUGCUUCUGAAUUUCAGCAAGAUUUUUAUGCAGAUGGGGAUUUACUUUUUCUGCACCUGCUGUCAGUACGCAUUAGACCAUAAACAUCAGCAAACAUUGAUUAAGCAUAUUGCCCAAAUGAAACAUUAGGCAAAGAAGGAAGGAAGCAUCCCAGAAACUCUAAGUCAUCAAAGACAAAUUACUCAUCCUGCAGCAAUUUUAGGCAGAGUCAUUGCUGCUUAUCAAACUCAACUGUGUUGAAAGUUUUGUAGAUUUCUUUUUAGUAGAUGUAACACAACUUUUUUAUUUGACAACUCCCAGAGAUCAGCCGUCAUCAACACCAACAAAACUAUGGAAAUCAGAUUACUGGUCAGAUGCAUGAAGGGAUAGUUCUUAAACUGCAUCUCUCUGGAGAAAAUAUGCCAAAAAAAAAGCACUUCCGUGGUAGCAGGGACUGGAAUCAUGGCAGAAGAAAGACCAGCAGAAGGCCCUUUUGACCCUGGAAUUACCAGGCUGAAAUAUGACUCCUCUACUUCUUAGCCGAAUGUUUGCUGCUUCGAAGUGUUUCAGGACAAUACAAGCAUCAGGAAUGCACCUGUCUGCUGCACUCUUGUCUCAUUAUUGAGCAUAAACAGCCAGAGUCUGGUCAGCAGUAUUUAAAGCUGUGUGGCAGAGAGAAAGGCAUGAAAGUUACAGAUUAGGAAUGAGGAAAAAGUCUGAGCAGACAUACAAUCUCUUUCUCCUGGAUACAAUCUCUUUCUCCUGGUGGAAUAGACUUACCCAAAACUAGAACUCUAGUAUUCAGCAACCAUCUUCUCUCCAGUAUCAUAAAUGGUUCAUGAAUAAUUGCAAGAUGCAUGUGUCGGUUUUGGUGUGAUUUAAUCCAUGUUCCAGCUGUUAUUUUCAACAGCAUGAAGCACUACAGGUAAAGGUUAUCCAUAACAUAUUGAAAGGCUUGUUUCUGUGUGUUAACAACAUAUUGCAGGAGGAGUUUAUUAUGCAGACAUGCUUAGUUACAGAUGAGCUUCAAUAAAUAAUAAAAAUGUUAACAUAUUGCUCCAAUAAAUAAAAUAUGUGUCAUAUGGGGCUUCGUUGCUGUGUGACUCCAGAGAAUCUUGAAGUUAAUGGCAUUUACAGGGAUCAGACCUGUUCUGUUUCCUGAGGAUGGAGAUCCUGAUUGCCCCUGAAGUGGUGCCCACCCUAGCUGUUGUACUAGGUUCAUGUGACAAGGUUUUGGUAGGGGGGAGUUGGGGGGCUGCAGGGGUGGCUUCUGUGAGAAGCUGCCAGAAGCUUCCCCCAUGUCCAAUAGAGCCAAUGCCCGCCGGCUUCAAGACAGACCCACUGCUGUCCAAGGCUAAGCCCAUCAGCAACGGUGGUAGCACCUCUGUGAUAUCAUAUUUAAGAAGGGGGAAAAAAUCUGCAAUUGCAGCCAGAGAGAGGAGUGAGAAUAUGUGUGAGAAACAACGCUGCAGACACCAAGGUCAGUGAAGAGGAAGUCAUGGGGAAGGUGCUCCAGGUGCCAGAGCAGACAUUACCCUGCAGCUCAUAGUGAAGACCAUGGUGAGGCAGGUUGUCCCCCUGCAGCCCAUGGAGGGCCGUGGUGGAGCUGAUAUCGACCUGCAGCCUGUGGAGGACCCCACACUGGUGCAGGUCGAUGUGCCCAAAGGAUGCUGUUAACCCAUAGGAAGCCCAUGCUGGAGCAGACUCCUCGCAGGACCUGUGACCCUGUGGAGAGAGGAGGCCACACUGGAGCAGGCUUGCUGGCAGGACUUGUGACCCUGUGGGGGACUCACGCUGGAGCAGCCUGUUCCUGAAGGAGUGCGCCCUGUGGAAAGGACCCACGUUGGAGCAGUUCAUGAAGAACUGCAGCCCAUGGGAAGAACCCACAUUGGGGAAGUUUGUGGACGACUGUCUCCCAUGGGAGGGACCCCACACUGGAUCAGGGGCAGAGUGUGAGGAGUCGUCCCCCUGAGGAGGAAGGAGCGGCAGAGACAAUGUGUGAUGGACGGACCACAACUCCCAUUCCCCAUCCACCUGUACCACUGAGGGGAGGAGGCAGAGAAAAUUGGGAGUGAAGUUGAGCCUGAGAAGAAGGGAGGCGUGGGGGGAACGUGUUUUAAGGUUUGGUUUUAUUCUUCAUUACCCUACUCUGAUUUGAUUGGUAAUAAAUUAAACUAAUUUUCCCAAGUCAAAUCUGUUUUGCCUGUGAUAGUAACUAGUGAGUGAUCUCCUCCUGUCCUUAUCUCUACCCUCCAUCCUUUCAUUAUAUUUUCUCUUCCCUGUCCAGCUGAGGAGGGGAGUUAGAGAGCAGUUUUGGUGGGUACCUGGUGUCCAGCCAGGUCAACUAACCACAGCUGUAUGUCACAGCCAGGAAGUUUAGUUGAAUCCGGAAUCUCUCCUGUGCGAUGACAGAUGCUCUGAAUAUCAUACUACAACCUGCUAACUGUGUGCAAUUAUUGUGAUGCUUAAUGAGCAUGAGCAGAUGAACUAGCCAUCCACAUCUGUGUAUGCCUGACUUACAAGUGAUCACUGACUUCUCUUCAGGCUGAGCUUUAACGAAUCUUCACAAGUAAUUCAAAUAUAGUUUUAAUCCAUCUCAGUUAAUCCAUAACAAAGCAGUAAUAAUGCUAGAAGUUCUUUAAACUCCUCAGAGCAAACUCCUCCUAGCCCACAUAUAAAUUCUGGAGAAUGUUUAACCUUAAAAGACAAUGAGAAAGUUUUGGGAAGGUAAAUUGCCAAUGCGGUGAAUUCACGGUAAAAUGAGAAGAAAAAAGUGAGUUAUAUUUUGACUUUUAAACCUUAUAAUGUAUUGAUGAAGUGUGUAACUUUUAAAUCACAUUUGCAAUUCCCUGCAAAGCUGAGUAAUGUACUAUGGGUCUUCGUAAAGUGAAAGACAGCGUCUUGGCUGAGCAUUUCAAUUUGCAAUAUAUUAAUGUCUUCUCACACUACAUACUGAAUACGAAGCUUACCUAUCACCAAUGUUUCAGUUCUGUCUUCUCAUAUGCGGACCCAUUUUGUACACCAAUCACUUUGCUACCCAGCUUUGUUUGCAGAAAGCAGGAAGAGAAGUAUUAUUUAGCAUAGUAAUUAUCCUUUUAGCCAGGCUGUUUUUCUCUUGAAAAUGGGAUCUCAAGCACUUACUGCAAUUCAGAUACUAGAGUAUGUCACACCUGAGCACUUGGCCUUACUAGACUUAUUCAGGCUAAAUGCCAUUUGAUAAGCUUUAGAGGAAAAUGAAUUGUAUAUACUGAUGCAUUGAAAUUGAUUUUAUUUUAAUUCACCUAACUCAUAACUAAGAAUAUAUUCUGCUUUUCUUUUUGUAUUGUGAGAGCUUUGAUAGGCAAUAUUGUGAGGUUCCAGUAACUGAAUAUUAUUAAGGAGAACGCAUCGCUUCUGUGUUCAAAUGACAGGCAUUAAUUUCAAUGGUCAUAACAAUAUCAUGUGGUCUCAUGCUUAGGAACUUGGCCAUCAACGUAUUUUAAAAGCAAAAUAAAUUGGAUUUCUUUUGCUUGA
Chroicocephalus ridibundus (black-headed gull) is the source of this 4416-nucleotide long non-coding RNA. RefSeq lists it as uncharacterized. The transcript is spliced from 3 exons. The record is from RefSeq and is a predicted model, not a curated record. Lineage: Eukaryota; Metazoa; Chordata; Aves; Charadriiformes; Laridae.